UCAGAACAGAUAAAUUUUCUUAAUAUAAAUAAAAUUAUAAUACAAAAUCUAACUUGCAAUAAUCGGAACCCUCGAUCCUUCCAAAAGUAUAACCUCUCUCUCUCUCUCUCUCUCUCUCUCUCUCUCUCUCUCUCUCUCUCACAUUUGAAGGUCUAACAAGACUUAUCUAAAAGUAGGUUUCCUUAAAUCAGAUGAACUAAUUGGAUGACUAAUUGAAUAGUAAAUUCGAAAUGAGAAGGAAGACUUUGAUUUUGUGUGGAUUAUAUUUCUUCUCCACAUAUUCCACGUAUUGUAACCAAAUUCUAUCAUAGCCAAGAAAAAGAGAGAGAAUAAGAGGUAGGUCACUAGUCUCUAUAAUUUGAUUUAUAUAUUAUUUUCAUAUAUGAGGUUAUUGAACAGUCUUGCGAAAAAAAUUAAAUUAUUAAGCAAUUGAAAGAGUCUCAUCACAUAUUUUCAUCAAAUAUAGCCUAUCUUUGGGUCAUAUUUAUAAAUGCUCAAAUUUCUUUUUAUACACAUAUUUACAAGGAUCUUAUGAGUACUAUCCACUUUUCGUUUCUAUAUAUUUAUAAUUUAAAAAAUUUAUAAACACUUUUGAACGUGCUCUCAAUAGCUUAAAAAUUUUAGUUUUGCUAGACUUAUAUCAUGGUUGACAGUUUUAUUUACACUUCAUGAUAUGACACACAAUUUUACCAUUAAUUUUAACAAUACUUAAAAAAUCAAUAAUCUCAAUUUUACACAUCAUGGAGUGUCAUCCAUGUUGUACAAAAGUAAUAUACAAUCGGCUUAAUUCUAAAAAUAUACUGUAGCAUUAACCUCAAAAAAGGUGAAGGGUGAAAGAUAAAAUGGUCGAGCCAAAUCGAAUCAGUGAUAACAAAGUCCAAAUAAAUAGAUAAUUUAUUUUUUUUUUUUGUUGGGGGGUGGGGCGUGGGGGGGUGGUGUUGUAAUUGCAAACUGCCUGAUUUUGAGACUAGACAGCCCAAUUCUUAGAUAAUUUUAAGGGAAAAUUGCAGCAGUGGUCCCUCAUCUUUCACUUUUUACAAACUCAAACUUAUCUUCUUCAUCCCACCCCAAUCCCAAAAUCGAACCGACAAUCAGAAAACUCACCACCGUCGCCACCACUAUCAAACCAAAACCGACCGUCAUCACCACCACCAAACCACAAUCACAACCACCGCCAUACCUAUACCCAUAUUUGAGCCCACUUUGAAUCACUUACAAAUCACCACCCAAAUCAUCGGAUAUUCAUAGUAUCGGAAAGCCUUCAAUUCCUUCUUCACAACACACACCAAAAUUGGACGAAAUCCUCACUUCCGAGGACACGCAUGCCAAACCCACCUUCCAAGUUGUCAAGCACCUUAAUAUGCACCUAUUGAUACUCUUGUAACAUCAAAGAAAGCUAUAAAUCCAAAUCUACAAUCAAUUCUUCAAAUAGCGAGCUCGAACCUUUCAAAUGUCAAUUUUGGCACCGACGGUGCAAUCCACGAUCGCAGACCACCUAUCCCAGGUCUACCUCAUCAAGGCGCAUCUACGGGCACCAUGGGUUUUGGUUUUGGUUGGUGGUGGUACUCAUGGUUUGAUGGUGGUGACGGCGAUUGAUUUUGGAUUGAUGGUUGUGGUGGUGGCAGUGGUUGAGGUUGGUGGUGGUGG
Molecule: long non-coding RNA, 1647 nt
Filed under: Olea europaea (common olive)
Lineage: Eukaryota; Viridiplantae; Streptophyta; Magnoliopsida; Lamiales; Oleaceae
Description: long non-coding RNA (OEUR_LNC007612)
Source: RNAcentral